Molecule: ribosomal RNA, 493 nt
Filed under: uncultured bacterium
Lineage: Bacteria
Description: partial 16S ribosomal RNA
Rfam family: Bacterial small subunit ribosomal RNA
Source: RNAcentral
GACGAACGCUGGCGGCGUGCUUAACACAUGCAAGUCGAACGGUGAAGCGCCUUCCUUUUUGGUGGGUGUGGAUGAGUGGCGAACGGGUGAGUAACACGUGAGUAACCUGCCCCCUUCUUCUGGAUAACCGCAUGAAAGUGUGGCUAAUACGGGAUAUUCUGGGUCUGUCGCAUGAUGGGUCUGGGAAAGAUAUUGUUUCGGUGGGGGAUGGGCUCGCGGCCUAUCAGCUUGUUGGUGGGGUGAUGGCCUACCAAGGCGGUGACGGGUAGCCGGCCUGAGAGGGUGGACGGUCACACUGGGACUGAGACACGGCCCAGACUCCUACGGGAGGCAGCAGUGGGGAAUAUGGCGCAAUGGGCGCAAGCCUGAUGCAGCGACGCCGCGUGAGGGAGGGAGGCCUUCGGGUUGUGAACCUCUUUCGCCAGCGAAGCGGGCCUGCCUCGUUUGUGGGUGGGUUGACGGUAGCUGGAUAAGAAGCGCCGGCUAACUACGU